This 746-nucleotide ribosomal RNA is filed under the name uncultured bacterium. RNAcentral's name for it is "bacterial SSU rRNA". It matches the Rfam family "Bacterial small subunit ribosomal RNA", at positions 104 to 851 of the family's 1533-position model. The record is from RNAcentral.
GGGUGAGUAACGCGUAUCCAACCUGCCCACCACUUGGGGAUAACCUUGCGAAAGUAAGACUAAUACCCAAUGAUAUCUCUAGAAGGCAUCUGAAAGAGAUUAAAGAUUUAUCGGUGAUGGAUGGGGAUGCGUCUGAUUAGCUUGUUGGCGGGGUAACGGCCCACCAAGGCAACGAUCAGUAGGGGUUCUGAGAGGAAGGUCCCCCACAUUGGAACUGAGACACGGUCCAAACUCCUACGGGAGGCAGCAGUGAGGAAUAUUGGUCAAUGGACGAGAGUCUGAACCAGCCAAGUAGCGUGCAGGAUGACGGCCCUAUGGGUUGUAAACUGCUUUUAUAAGGGAAUAAAGUGAGUCUCGUGAGACUUUUUGCAUGUACCUUAUGAAUAAGGACCGGCUAAUUCCGUGCCAGCAGCCGCGGUAAUACGGAAGGUCCGGGCGUUAUCCGGAUUUAUUGGGUUUAAAGGGAGCGUAGGCCGGAGAUUAAGCGUGUUGUGAAAUGUAGAUGCUCAACAUCUGAACUGCAGCGCGAACUGGUUUCCUUGAGUACGCACAAAGUGGGCGGAAUUCGUGGUGUAGCGGUGAAAUGCUUAGAUAUCACGAAGAACUUCGAUUGCGAAGGCAGCUCACUGGAGCGCAACUGACGCUGAAGCUCGAAAGUGCGGGUAUCGAACAGGAUUAGAUACCCUGGUAGUCCGCACGGUAAACGAUGGAUGCCCGCUGUUGGUCUGAAUAGGUCAGCGGCCAAG